UACAGAGGGUGCAAGCGUUAAUCGGAUUUACUGGGCGUAAAGGGCGCGUAGGUGGAUGCGUAAGUGAGAUGUGAAAUCCCCGGGCUUAACCUGGGAACUGCAUCUUAUACUGCGUAUCUGGAGUGCAAUAGAGGGUAGUGGAAUUUCCGGUGUAGCGGUGAAAUGCGUAGAUAUCGGAAGGAACACCAGUGGCGAAGGCGGCUACCUGGAUUGACACUGACACUGAGGCGCGAGAGCGUGGGGAGCAAACAGG
RNAcentral lists this ribosomal RNA (253 nucleotides) under uncultured bacterium. Its description in RNAcentral is "partial 16S ribosomal RNA". It matches the Rfam family "Bacterial small subunit ribosomal RNA", at positions 524 to 776 of the family's 1533-position model. The record is from RNAcentral.